AUUUAAAUAGUUUAAUUUUAAAAUAAUAAUUUGUGAUAUUAUAGAUAUAUUUUUAAAAUAUUUUAAAUC
RNAcentral lists this transfer RNA (69 nucleotides) under Tapinoma nigerrimum. Its description in RNAcentral is "tRNA-His". The record is from RNAcentral. Lineage: Eukaryota; Metazoa; Arthropoda; Insecta; Hymenoptera; Formicidae. RNAcentral also lists the same sequence under 4 other names.